CUACGGGGGGCUGCAGUAGGGAAUAUUGGACAAUGGGCGAAAGCCUGAUCCAGCAACACCGCGUGCACGAUGACGGCCUUCGGGUUGUAAAGUGCUUUUAGAGGAGAUGAGAAAGGACAGUAUCCUCUGAAUAAGCCUCGGCGAACUACGUGCCAGCAGCCGCGGUAAAACGUAGGAGGCAAGCGUUAUCCGGAUUUAUUGGGCGUAAAGCGCGUGCAGGCGGUCUAGCAAGUUGGAUGUGAAAGCUCCCGGCUUAACUGGGAGAGGUCGUUCAAUACUGUUAGACUAGAGAAUAGGAGAGGGAGGUGGAAUUCCGGGUGUAGUGGUGAAAUGCGUAGAUAUCCGGAGGAACACCAGUGGCGAAAGCGGCCUCCUGGACUAUUUCUGACGCUAAGACGCGAAAGCUAGGGUAGCAAACGGGAUUAGAUACCCCCGUAGUC
Molecule: ribosomal RNA, 440 nt
Filed under: uncultured bacterium
Lineage: Bacteria
Description: partial 16S ribosomal RNA
Rfam family: Bacterial small subunit ribosomal RNA
Source: RNAcentral